CGCCUCUUGACAAACUUAUAAGAGGUCCAGCCUGCCCAGUGACUUUGUUCAACGGCCGCGGUAUCCUAACCGUGCGAAGGUAGCGUAAUCACUUGUUCUUUAAAUGAGGACUAGUAUGAAUGGCAUCACGAAGGUUAUACUGUCUCCUUUUUCUAAUCAGUGAAACUAAUCUUCCCGUGAAGAAACGGGAAUAGUAAUAUAAGACGAGAAGACCCUAUGGAGCUUUAAACAAAUAUACAAUUGCCCACUUAAUUAAAAAUUUCAGAAGAUAAAUACUUACCCAGGCACUUUGAUAUAAAGUUUUAGGUUGGGGUGACCGCGGAGCAAAAGACAACCUCCACAGUGAAAGGGGGGAUCCCCCUAAACUAAGGGCUACUACCCUAAGUAUCAAUAAACUGACACCAGUUGACCCAAUACACUUGAUCAACGAACCAAGUUACCCUAGGGAUAACAGCGCAAUCCACUUCAAGAGCUCCUAUCGACAAGUGGGUUUACGACCUCGAUGUUGGAUCAGGGUAUCCUAGUGGUGCAGCCGCUACUAACGGUUCGUUUGUUCAACGAUUAAAACCCU
RNAcentral lists this ribosomal RNA (571 nucleotides) under Leptodactylus gracilis (Dumeril's striped frog). Its description in RNAcentral is "partial large subunit ribosomal RNA". It matches the Rfam family "Bacterial large subunit ribosomal RNA", at positions 1816 to 2597 of the family's 2925-position model. Lineage: Eukaryota; Metazoa; Chordata; Amphibia; Anura; Leptodactylidae. The record is from RNAcentral.